Molecule: long non-coding RNA, 624 nt
Organism: Vicia villosa (hairy vetch)
Lineage: Eukaryota; Viridiplantae; Streptophyta; Magnoliopsida; Fabales; Fabaceae
Exons: 2
Source: RefSeq, a predicted model, not a curated record
CUUGAUUCUUUUACUCGUUCUUUCAUUCCUUUCUCUCUCUCACUUUUUGUAAAACCCAGAAAACAGAAAUAACACGAAGAUCUUCAUCUUCUUUAACCCUUACCUUCAACAACAAAACCCAGAAACCACUCAAUUCCUAAGAACUCAACCCUAACCCUUACCCCAAAAAUCCCAGCAAACAACACGCAGAUCAACAAAAUUUCGUGAAUCUAAAAAAAGGCUAAGUGAAAAUACCUCAGUUAAUUCUUUAUUGCUUCGGAUCGAUUUCAAUUUUAAUCUUUCUUCUUCUCCGUUUCAGGUACCGAGAACGAAUGAGGCACAACAAGAGUUCUUCCGUCUAAUCUUUCUUUUUCGUCCCCUUCUAUCCUUCUUUGUCUUUCGAUCCCCCCCUUUUUCUGUAGAUUUAGGUUGUCAUUUAUAGCCUUAGGUUUUCCGAUUCGAAUAAGGAAAUAGUUUUAAGAGUUUUAAUUUCAGAUUAUUCGAAGGUUUGAUUCAGUUUUUAAGAGGUUUGAUUUUAUUUUAGAUUAGGAAAGAUUUGAUUUCUUGUUAAAGCUGUAUUUUAAUUUUUGAUGUAAAUGCAUUUUGAUCCAAUUUAUAAUGAUAAUUUUGGUAUUCAAUUGCUAA